Molecule: ribosomal RNA, 405 nt
Filed under: uncultured bacterium
Lineage: Bacteria
Description: bacterial SSU rRNA
Rfam family: Bacterial small subunit ribosomal RNA
Source: RNAcentral
UAGUAUCAGCGUGUCAGCCGCCGCGGUAAUACGAAGGGGGCUAGCGUUGCUCGGAAUUACUGGGCGUAAAGGGAGCGUAGGCGGAUAGUUCAGUCAGAGGUGAAAGCCCAGGGCUCAACCUUGGAACUGCCUUUGAUACUGGCUAUCUUGAGUUUGGGAGAGGUGUGUGGAACUCCGAGUGUAGAGGUGAAAUUCGUAGAUAUUCGGAAGAACACCAGUGGCGAAGGCGACACACUGGCCCAAUACUGACGCUGAGGCUCGAAAGCGUGGGGAGCAAACAGGAUUAGAUACCCAGGUAGUCCACGCCGUAAACGAUGAGUGCUAGUUGUCGGCAUGCAUGCAUGUCGGUGACGCAGCUAACGCAUUAAGCACUCCGCCUGGGGAGUACGGUCGCAAGAUUAAAAC